This 386-nucleotide long non-coding RNA is filed under the name Cyanoderma ruficeps (rufous-capped babbler). Its description in RNAcentral is "lncRNA (ENSCRFG00000015326.1)". Lineage: Eukaryota; Metazoa; Chordata; Aves; Passeriformes; Timaliidae. The record is from RNAcentral.
GCUAGCUUUUACAAACAAUCUAGGAAUACUAAUCCCAAGGGACUCGAUGGGGAGAAAGAUGGUCCAACUGUGUUCAGCAGUGCUACUGAGAAGGCACAGAAGAGAUCAGGAGCUCACUUUAUUCACAGGAAACAGAGGAAUACUGGAGCUGUGCUUUCAUUCCGUGGAAUUAAAGGCUCCAUUAAUAAAGAACAGAAGUCAUCUGCUGCCAGGCUGGGCCAGUGGCUCCUCCGGGUGGUCCCUGCAAACAGGGAGACUUGGCUGUUUGUGCUCCUCGUUAUGGAGAGCUGGGACACAUCAAGUGCCUUGCUCAGGGCACAUAGAAACUCUCCAGUUUAUCCCCAAACUCACUUCAGAUCUUUCUACUGCUGGAGCUGCAUAGCCAC